CCUAAAAAGAAAAGGCGACGACGUAUUUGGACAAAGAUAUGGCUGAGGAAACGUGACAUCUAUGGUCUGUCUGUUUUACAGAAAGAACUUGAGGUAGAUGAUGUGAAGGGAUUUCGGGAGCUUCUGCGGAUGUCGGUUGAAGACUUUUCUUAUCUCCUGGAGAGGGUGACACCACACAUAAUAAAGAAAGACACACACCUAAGAAAAGCCAUCAGCCCCAGGGACAGGCUCUCUGUGACCUUACGCUUUCUGGCAACAGGCGAGACCUUCAAGUCAUUAGGUUUUCAUUACAGGAUUGGAAGCACAACACUGAGUUGGAUAGUGAUGGAAACGUGCACAGCCC
This is a long non-coding RNA of Fundulus heteroclitus (mummichog), 343 nucleotides long. RefSeq lists it as uncharacterized. The transcript is spliced from 3 exons. NCBI's taxonomy places the organism in Eukaryota, Metazoa, Chordata, Actinopteri, Cyprinodontiformes, Fundulidae. The record is from RefSeq and is a predicted model, not a curated record.